Molecule: long non-coding RNA, 818 nt
Filed under: Athene cunicularia (burrowing owl)
Lineage: Eukaryota; Metazoa; Chordata; Aves; Strigiformes; Strigidae
Description: lncRNA (ENSACUG00000003673.1)
Source: RNAcentral
AUGGACUAGCCUGAUUUGUUAAGCAAGGACUGUGAGGAUAGAUACUGCAGUACUAUCUUUCAUGGAAAACUUUGGAAUGAGAAGCAAUGACCUAUUGCACAGUGCAUCAUGUUCCAGGAUGGGCUAGAAAAACUGAACUGGGAGUAGCUGCCAGCAAGAGCCGCUCACAGGGAAAGGCAGUGACUGUUUACCUGUGCUGCUCAGCCAGACCAGGGAGGACAGAUGGCCGGAAAGAGAGGAAGGAUUCCUACUGGCAUUCCUCUUGCUGAAAGUCAGAACAUAAAGAUUUGGAUGACAUCCAGUAACUGAACUAAAACCAGUCCUAUGUCAAGACAGUGUAACAACCAGGGGAUUGUAGAUGCCAAGCACAGUUUCAGACACACUUGUGUUCUCCAGCAGAAGACAGUGACAUGACAGGAAUGGUAGCACAAGGCUCUUACUGUUAAAUUCAAUAAUUGAUUCUCCUGGAUGGAUUGUGACUCUCCAGAGGUUGCAAAGAAAGAAAGAGUUGAAUUAUGCUGCCACUUAACAAGAAGGAAAAACCAGCAUAAGAGCAUUGGUUUAAUGGACAUGCUUUGGAUUUACACUGGCAUCCUGAAAGCAGAAUUGUCCCCUGUGGGUAUAGAAGUAUCAUGGUAAUUCUCCCCAGGAAGGAAGAAGGCCCUAUUUGCUUGCCUGGUGUAGUUUGAUAUCCACAAGGCACAUGACUGAAGGCACUUGUUUACGGACAUAAUUUUCCAAAUACUCUCUGUAAGUAAUGUUUUCCUAGGCAGUGAAGUAUUGUAUGAAGUUCUAUUGUGGCUCAUUUCUUGCACUAU